CUAGCCUCACCUCCGCCUCGGGCGCCGCGGGUCCGGGGUUCGAGACAGGCAGCUCUCUGCCUGCGGCUCGUCAAACUCCCUGACCACGCCCAGUGCCCCUCAAAGCCCCGCGGCUCGGGGUGGCGAGCGAAUGGAAGCCACCAGGGCCCGAGGCACCCGAGGCGGGCAAAGACCCCCCCAACCCCCAGCAAUGAGACCAAGUGUCCCAAACCGGAGGAAGACCUGCACCCUCGCGAGAGUUCUGACACGCUCCCACAGGCCGCGAGAACCCUGGGACGCGGCCUGCCAAUCAUCACAUGGAGGCGGUUCCGGGCGCACCCAACUGGCUAAGCACCGGAAAGCUCGGGUCCCAUUGGCAUGUUUUCCGGAGCCAACGUCGCCUCCUCCGUCUGAAUCCUCGCCGCACUCAGAGGCCCCGCUUCUCAGCUGAGAAGAUGAUAAAGCUAAAGUUCUAGGAGUCAGAUGACUGACCAGUGCUGGAGCUGAGAUUGGAGCUAUGAAUCCCACCACCACCACCUCUGUGAGAGUUAUCAGACAGAAAAGCCAGGCUUUUCUCUGAUCUAACUUCUGAAGAGGAGGCAUUGCUAACAAGUGGUCAGGAUCCUCUUUAAAGAAUGACUCUCCAGUGACUCUCACCUCAAAACCAGAAUCUGUUCGUGCUAGGCUGCCUUGAGAAACCCUCCAGAGUAAGGAUGGACCCUUUAAGAAGACCUUGAAUGUGACUGUGAUGGCUGCAUCUCUAGCUGCCAUCUUUGACCAUCUCCUAGAUGUGAUGGGUUGGAUUGUGUCUCCCCUAAAUUCAUGUGUCUAAGUACUGCCCCCCUUAGACAUGACCUUAUUUGAAAUGUGAUAUUGUAGGAUCAUUGCAGAUGUAAUUAAAGAAGAAGGUAAUACUAAAGUAGAGCAGCACCUGAUCCAGUAUGACUGGUGUUGUUAUGAAAAGGAGAGACAUGCGCACAGAAACACACACUCAGGAAGAAUGCUAUAUGAAUACGAAGAUGAAGGAAGAGAUGACUCUACAAGCCAAGGAAUGCCCAAGGUUCCCAGGAAACCACCAGAAACCAGGAGAUAGGCCUAGACCAGAUUCAUCCCUCCAGCCUCUAUAAAACUCCUUCUCAGACAUCCAGCCUCCAGAACUGGGAGAUGCUGCUCUUCUGUUCUUUAAGCCGCCCAGUGUGUGGUCCUUUGUUAUGGCAGCCCUUGGAAACUGACAUGCUAAAGAUGGCAGAGAAAUUAGUUAGGAGGAGUCUGA
Long non-coding RNA from Cervus elaphus (red deer), 1252 nucleotides. RefSeq lists it as uncharacterized. The transcript is spliced from 3 exons. Lineage: Eukaryota; Metazoa; Chordata; Mammalia; Artiodactyla; Cervidae. The record is from RefSeq and is a predicted model, not a curated record.